Molecule: long non-coding RNA, 364 nt
Organism: Pygocentrus nattereri (red-bellied piranha)
Lineage: Eukaryota; Metazoa; Chordata; Actinopteri; Characiformes; Serrasalmidae
Exons: 3
Source: RefSeq, a predicted model, not a curated record
GUUUCUUUCACAUCAAGAGGGGCUGAAAAGGGGAGAAAGCCACUGCAUUUGGUGGUGUGGGAUACACUGGUGUUUGCCGGCAUCUCGGAGCCUGGUAUUAGCAGAGAGGUGACUUGUGCCAGAGAAAGCCAAGGAGUGGAGCGGAGGAGAGCCCAGCUGAUCUCUGUUUUUCAUCCAUGAUCUCCCACCCUGAUCCCUCUGAUCCUCCAGAACAGCCCGCCAACUGUCGCCCUGCCAGAUCCAGCUGCCUGCAAGGAAAAAAUGUCCUUUUUCACCGACAUGAGGAAUCACAGUAACUCAAGGAGUUGCCUCCUUGCUCAGGCCUUGACCUGCAAAUGAUGCUUUACAUGGAUAAGGAGCUCGG